Molecule: small nuclear RNA, 157 nt
Organism: Callithrix jacchus (white-tufted-ear marmoset)
Lineage: Eukaryota; Metazoa; Chordata; Mammalia; Primates; Cebidae
Gene: U1
Rfam family: U1 spliceosomal RNA
About the family: U1 is a small nuclear RNA (snRNA) component of the spliceosome (involved in pre-mRNA splicing).
Source: Ensembl
AUAUUUAUCUGGUUUUCCCAGGGCAAGGCUUAUCCAUUGCACUCCAGAUGCAAUGAUAAAAUAUAAUGAUAAAAAUCACCCCUGUGAUUUCCCCAAAUGUGGGAAGCUCAACUGCAUAAUUUGUGGUAGUGGGGGACUGCAUUCGUGCUUUCCCCUG